ACAUGUGAUACAUUCUUUUUGUCAUUUAUCAUUUUUCUGCUUGAGUUCAUUCGAGAGCAUAGUGAUUGUCUCAUUUCACCCACAUAGUUGUUAUUGGGGCAGUAAGUACACUAUCUGAGAUACACCACAUGUUAUGAUAGGCAUCUGUAGAACCCUUAGAUUUUGAAGGGUGUGUUGUGGGGAGAACUGAUCAUUGUAACAA
Molecule: long non-coding RNA, 202 nt
Organism: Dermochelys coriacea (leatherback sea turtle)
Lineage: Eukaryota; Metazoa; Chordata; Testudines; Dermochelyidae
Exons: 3
Source: RefSeq, a predicted model, not a curated record